Molecule: long non-coding RNA, 451 nt
Filed under: Triticum aestivum (bread wheat)
Lineage: Eukaryota; Viridiplantae; Streptophyta; Magnoliopsida; Poales; Poaceae
Description: long non-coding RNA (TAES_LNC008936)
Source: RNAcentral
GCGGGUUCACCGUGAUUUUCGUUCACCUAGUGUCAGUGUUGGCUUACUGAUUAGUAUUAUGUGGGUGCAGGUGUGGAGAAGAAGUUCAGCGUGUCGUUCCAGAAGGAGAGGGAGAACCGGGCGUACAUGAGCGGGCCGGCGCACGGCAUCCACCCGCUGGCCAAUGCUGCUGGCAAGGGCUUGAAGACGGAGAUCCGCGAGGUUGAUCUUCCGGCUGCCAAUACUGGAGCCAGGAUUUUCACCUGAUCUGCCCGUGGCGUGCGUACGUGUCUGCGAGAUGGGUGUAUGAUAGCUGGAGAUAGGGUAGUUAAUAAAGUGUCAACUACCCUUUGUUUCGCCUCUUGGAAAUGGAGUGCUCGAAGAAUGAGUUACGAAUGACAGUAUAGGCAGCGCCGGAGGGAGGAACCGUGUAUCUAGACUUAGAAGGGGCCAAAUGAAACCAUCUUCCACU